GGAGGGUUGGCAGAAUGGCUAUUGCGCGACUCUCGAAAAGUCGUGGGGGCAACCCCUUGCAGGUUCGAGUCCUGCAUCCUCCGCCA
This 86-nucleotide transfer RNA is filed under the name Parcubacteria group bacterium ADurb.Bin247. RNAcentral describes it as "tRNA-Ser". It matches the Rfam family "tRNA". Rfam says of the family: Transfer RNA (tRNA) molecules are approximately 80 nucleotides in length. Their secondary structure includes four short double-helical elements and three loops (D, anti-codon, and T loops). The record is from RNAcentral.